RNAcentral lists this ribosomal RNA (492 nucleotides) under uncultured bacterium. RNAcentral's name for it is "bacterial SSU rRNA". It matches the Rfam family "Bacterial small subunit ribosomal RNA", at positions 15 to 507 of the family's 1533-position model. The record is from RNAcentral.
GAUCCUGGCUCAGAUUGAACGCUGGCGGAAUGCUUUACACAUGCAAGUCGAACGGUAGAGGGGGCAACCCUUGAGAGUGGCGAACGGGUGAGUAAUAUAUCGGAACGUGCCCAGUCGUGGGGGAUAACGUAGCGAAAGUUACGCUAAUACCGCAUACGAUCUACGGAUGAAAGCGGGGGAUCUUCGGACCUCGCGCCAUUAGAUGAGCCUAGGUCGGAUUAGCUAGUUGGUGAGGUAAUGGCUCACCAAGGCGACGAUCCGUAACUGGUCUGAGAGGAUGAUCAGUCACACUGGAACUGAGACACGGUCCAGACUCCUACGGGAGGCAGCAGUGGGGAAUUUUGGACAAUGGGCGCAAGCCUGAUCCAGCAAUGCCGCGUGCAGGAUGAAGGCCUUCGGGUUGUAAACUGCUUUUGUACGGAACGAAACGGUGAGCUCUAAUACAGUUUGCUAAUGACGGUACCGUAAGAAUAAGCACCGGCUAACUACGUG